GAGCGAGCAGCGAUUUCUUAUUAAAGGUGUCCCUAAAUAUUUAGAUUUGUUACUGUGUCUAGUAUGCCCGUGAUUGAUGUUGACCAGUUCUAUGUUUCUGAGAACGUAUGACUAAAACAGGACAUAAAAUAGGAAUUUACUUGUCGCCUGGUAUUAGCGUACAUCAAAGUUAACUUUAACCCAUAGACCGUAUAUAUGCGUUAACCUCACAAAAAUGUCCGCCACAAGGUAUAGACGAUUUCUCAAACUCUGCGAAGAAUGGCCAAGGGACGAAUCAAAAAAAGGUCGUGAUUUAGGCACGUUCCUUCGACAGAGAGUAGCGCAUGCAUUUCGUGAAGGAGAAAAUACCCAGUUGUCAGACCCAGAAAAAUGUGACCAGAUGUACGAAAGCUUGGCCCGAAUCAACAGUAACAUGUACAGGGAAAAGUUUCCUCGAGCAAAGGACACAAGUUUCACAGGUGUUACAGUUGAGGAGUGUCGGAUGUUGUUAUCAACAGAUACAGUAAGUGGUACUUCAGUCCUUAAAGGACAUGGCCAGACCAAAAGGAGAAAAAUGUUCAUUCAGGAAUUCGUCUGACAGAAAAAAAGAAUGGUAAGAACAAAUGCACUACCAUCAGGUUUGCUAAUGAUACAACAGUGGUUGGAGUGAUCUCCGGAGCAGAUUAGACAGUGCACAGGGAUGAAGUCUAAACCAGUGUUUCUCAACCAAUGGGCCGGGGCCUAUUAGUGGACCGUGCAGCGCCAUCUAGUGGGCUGAGAAAUGUUUUCAAGUUGUUUGGAAAUGAGAUGUUUUAGAGUAACCAUGUUAAACUUAAAUAAAUAGCAGCUAUCAAAGUAGCUAUAUUAUUGGUUCCAACUUCUAUUUGAUGCGCUCAGUUUGACAAGCUAAUGUUAUAUACUGGGGUGUACUUAGAAUAGGUAGUGAAAAGUCCCUGAAGUGGGAAAAAAUGUCUAUGCUAAUGAUGGUCGUAAUAUUUUAGCAAAAACUUUUUCUGUUCUGCAAAAAUACAAUCCGGAUUACAUAAAAUAUGGCUUUAUCAAUAGAGGUGCCCAAAGCCCAGUGUGUUGAGUGUGGCUUAACAAUGUCAAAUGAGGAGCUGAAGCCUUCAAAAGGAAAGUGGCAUCUGGAGACAAGACACCCAACUCUAGCUGGUAAGCCGGUUGACUGUUUAAAAAAAAAAACAGACUUCAGCUACAGGAAAAACUAGCCCAAAUCGGGGAUCUUUUUUUAAUGGAACUCCGCUUGUUACAAAUAGAAUAGGUGGGCCUUAAAGCAGAAAAGGUUGAGAACCCCUGGUCUAGACUGACAGCAUAGUGUUCCGAGAAUAAUCUCAUAAUAGACUUCCAAAGGAAAGCGCAGACCUAGAGUCAUUAUACAUUGACUUGACUGUAUGGAAAGGGUUCCUGUUUUUUUUGUUCCAGAAGACAUUGCCUAAGUUCUGGACCACCAACACCACAACAGUAGUGAAGAGGGCACAGCAGCGACUCUUUUUAGGAAAAACAAGCUGCUGCAGAAGCUGCUGGUGUCCUUACUACUGCCACUCUAUCGAGUGUAUGCCAGCUGCUCAGCAGCAGACAGAAGAGCCCAUCAGUGGGCUGUCAGUACUGGCUAAAACAUCACUGGCAACUUACUACCCUUUUUUGGGGGAUUUGUUCUUUAGCAGUUCCUUAGCAGUCGACAUACUGAAAGACCCAACCCACCCUGGACAUCAUCUGUUUGAUUUGCGGCCCUCUGAUAGACUUCUCAGGGUCAUCAUAUCACAGACAGACAGACUUUAGAACCGUUUUUACUCCAGUCAUGCAACAACUGAACACUGCCAAACACUGACUGUUUGGGACAUGUAUAAUAUAUAUUAUAUUGUGUGAAGCAUGGCCAGGAUUCAGUUUCAUGGCACUUUGCAAUGGCUACUAAUGCAUCUAUCCAUCCGAUGUUGUAAAUAUCUUAUCUGUCAGCGACUGUACAGGGAACAUGCAGCAGAUGGACGAGGAGAAGAAGGGUUUGUGGAAGACCCUGAUGGAACGAUUCUCAUCAAAGCCUGAGGAGACCCCUGAAAAGCCCACUGAAAAGUAGUUUGCCAAUGUUCUUUCUGUAUAUUUUACCUGUUUCUUGGUCCAAGUAUAAAUAAAAAAAUAUUGUAAUUAAA
Molecule: RNA transcript, 2144 nt
Organism: Alosa sapidissima (American shad)
Lineage: Eukaryota; Metazoa; Chordata; Actinopteri; Clupeiformes; Clupeidae
Gene name: ubiquinol-cytochrome-c reductase complex assembly factor 2
Exons: 6
Source: RefSeq, a predicted model, not a curated record